Molecule: long non-coding RNA, 939 nt
Filed under: Homo sapiens (human)
Lineage: Eukaryota; Metazoa; Chordata; Mammalia; Primates; Hominidae
Description: non-protein coding lnc-TRAPPC12-5:3
Source: RNAcentral
GCCUGAUCUGGAGGAGUGUGAAGGGAAACACCCAGGAAGCAGGGUCUGUUGAGUGCCUCAACACAAGGCUGCAACAGGUGGGACUUGACCUGCAAGUGCAGGAGCCAAGGGUGGGCAAGCAUCUCCACACGUUUUGAUUUUAAGGAAAAUUAUUCUUGUGACCACGCACAGGGUGGGAGAAGGAGUGAGCCCACUCGCUCACUAUUCCAGCACCGACACGGGGACGCUCACUAUUCCAGCACCGACGUGGGGACGCUCACUAUUGCAGCACCGACAAGGGGCACCAACACGGGGAUGUUCACAAUUCCAGCACCGACAUGGGGACGCUCACUAUUCCAGCACCGACACGGGGAUGCUCACUAUUCCAGCACCGACGUGGGGACGCUCGCUAUUUCAGCACCGACAAGGGGCACCGACACGGGGACGCUCACUAUUCCAGCACCGACAAGGGGCACCGACACGGGGACACUCACUAUUCCAGCACCGACACGGGGACGUUCACUAUUUCAGCACCGACACGGGGACGAUCACUAUUCCAGCACCGACACGGGGACGUUCACUAUUUCAGCACCGACACGGGGACGAUCACUAUUCCAGCACCGACACGGGGACGCUCACUAUUCCAGCACCGACAAGGGGCACCGACACGGGGACGCUCACUAUUCCAGCACCGACACGGGGACGCUCACUAUUCCAGCACCGACACGGGGCACCGACACGGGGACGCUCACUGUUCCAGCACCGAUACGGGGCACCAACAUGAGGACGCUCACUAUUGCAGCACCGAUACAGGGAUGCUCACUAUUCCAGCGCUAAUACGGGGACGUUCACUAUUCCAGCACCGACACGGGGACGUUCACCCUUCCAGCACCAACACGGGGACGUUUACUAUUCCAGCACCGACAAGGGGCACUGACAGGGGAAUGCACACUAUUCCAG